GACGAACGCUGGCGGCGUGCUUAACACAUGCAAGUCGAACGGAAAGGCCCUGCUUUUGUGGGGUGCUCGAGUGGCGAACGGGUGAGUAACACGUGAGUAACCUGCCCUUGACUUUGGGAUAACUUCAGGAAACUGGGGCUAAUACCGGAUAGGAGCUCCUGCUGCAUGGUGGGGGUUGGAAAGUUUCGGCGGUUGGGGAUGGACUCGCGGCUUAUCAGCUUGUUGGUGGGGUAGUGGCUUACCAAGGCUUUGACGGGUAGCCGGCCUGAGUGGGUGACCGGCCACAUUGGGACUGAGAUACGGCCCAGACUCCUACGGGAGGCAGCAGUGGGGAAUAUUGAACAAUGGGCGGAAGCCUGAUGCAGCAGCGCCGCGUGCGGGAUGACGGCCUUCGGGUUGUAAACCGCUUUCGCCUGUGACGAAGCGUGAGUGACGGUAAUGGGUAAAGAAGCACCGGCUAACUACGUG
This 468-nucleotide ribosomal RNA is filed under the name uncultured bacterium. RNAcentral describes it as "partial 16S ribosomal RNA". It matches the Rfam family "Bacterial small subunit ribosomal RNA", at positions 28 to 507 of the family's 1533-position model. The record is from RNAcentral.